GGUUAAGUUAGAAAGGGCGCACGGUGGAUGCCUUGGCACUAGGAGCCGAUGAAGGACGGGACGAACACCGAUAUGCUUCGGGGAGCUGUAAGCAAGCUUUGAUCCGGAGAUUUCCGAAUGGGGAAACCCACCACUCGUAAUGGAGUGGUAUCCAUAUCUGAAUACAUAGGAUAUGAGAAGGCAGACCCGGGGAACUGAAACAUCUAAGUACCCGGAGGAAGAGAAAGCAAAUGCGAUUCCCUGAGUAGCGGCGAGCGAAACGGGAUAGCCCAAACCAAGAGGCUUGCCUCUUGGGGUUGUAGGACACUCUGUACGGAGUUACAAAGGAACGAGGUAGAUGAAGAGGUCUGGAAAGGCCGCCAUAGGAGGUAACAGCCCUGUAGUCAAAACUUCGUUCUCUCCUGAGUGGAUCCUGAGUACGGCGGAACACGUGAAAUUCCGUCGGAAUCCGGGAGGACCAUCUCCCAAGGCUAAAUACUCCCUAGUGACCGAUAGUGAACCAGUACCGUGAGGGAAAGGUGAAAAGCACCCCGGAAGGGGAGUGAAAGAGAUCCUGAAACCGUGUGCCUACAAGUAGUCAGAGCCCGUUAACGGGUGAUGGCGUGCCUUUUGUAGAAUGAACCGGCGAGUUACGAUCCCGUGCAAGGUUAAGCAGAAGAUGCGGAGCCGCAGCGAAAGCGAGUCUGAAUAGGGCGAAUUGAGUACGUGGUCGUAGACCCGAAACCAGGUGAUCUACCCAUGUCCAGGGUGAAGUUCAGGUAACACUGAAUGGAGGCUUCGAACCCACGCACGUUGAAAAGUGCGGGGAUGAGGUGUGGGUAGGGGUGAAAUGCCAAUCGAACCUGGAGAUAGCUGGUUCUCUCCGAAAUAGCUUUAGGGCUAGCCUCAAGGUAAGAGUCUCGGAGGUAGAGCACUGAUUGGACUAGGGGCCCCUACCGGGUUACCGAAUUCAGUCAAACUCCGAAUGCCGAUGACUUAUCCUUGGGAGUCAGACUGCGAGUGAUAAGAUCCGUAGUCGAAAGGGAAACAGCCCAGACCGCCAGCUAAGGUCCCAAAGUAUACGUUAAGUGGAAAAGGAUGUGGAGUUGCUUAGACAACCAGGAUGUUGGCUUAGAAGCAGCCACCAUUUAAAGAGUGCGUAAUAGCUCACUGGUCGAGUGACUCUGCGCCGAAAAUGUACCGGGGCUAAACGUAUCACCGAAGCUGCGGACUGUUCUUCGAACAGUGGUAGGAGAGCGUUCUAAGGGCUGUGAAGCAAGACCGGAAGGACUUGUGGAGCGCUUAGAAGUGAGAAUGCCGGUAUGAGUAGCGAAAGAGGGGUGAGAAUCCCCUCCACCGAAUGCCUAAGGUUUCCUGAGGAAGGCUCGUCCGCUCAGGGUUAGUCGGGGCCUAAGCCGAGGCCGAAAGGCGUAGGCGAUGGAUAACAGGUUGAUAUUCCUGUACCACCUCCUCACCAUUUGAGCAAUGGGGGGACGCAGGAGGAUAGGGUGAGCGCGGUAUUGGAUAUCCGCGUCCAAGCAGUUAGGCUGGGAAAUAGGCAAAUCCGUUUCCCGUGAAGGCUGAGCUGUGAUGGCGAGCGAAUUAUAGUAGCGAAGUUCCUGAUUCCACACUGCCAAGAAAAGCCUCUAGCGAGGUGAGAGGUGCCCGUACCGCAAACCGACACAGGUAGGCGAGGAGAGAAUCCUAAGGUGAUCGAGAGAACUCUCGUUAAGGAACUCGGCAAAAUGACCCCGUAACUUCGGGAGAAGGGGUGCUCUGUUAGGGUGCAAGCCCGAGAGAGCCGCAGUGAAUAGGCUCAGGCGACUGUUUAGCAAAAACACAGGUCUCUGCGAAGCCGUAAGGCGAAGUAUAGGGGCUGACGCCUGCCCGGUGCUGGAAGGUUAAGAGGAGCGCUUAGCGUAAGCGAAGGUGCGAAUUGAAGCCCCAGUAAACGGCGGCCGUAACUAUAACGGUCCUAAGGUAGCGAAAUUCCUUGUCGGGUAAGUUCCGACCCGCACGAAAGGCGCAACGAUCUGGGCACUGUCUCAACGAGAGACUCGGUGAAAUUAUAGUACCUGUGAAGAUGCAGGUUACCCGCGACAGGACGGAAAGACCCCGUGGAGCUUUACUGCAGCCUGAUAUUGAAUGUUGGUACAGCUUGUACAGGAUAGGUAGGAGCCUUGGAAACCGGAGCGCCAGCUUCGGUGGAGGCAUCGGUGGGAUACUACCCUGGCUGUAUUGACCUUCUAACCCGCCGCCCUUAUCGGGCGGGGAGACAGUGUCAGGUGGGCAGUUUGACUGGGGCGGUCGCCUCCUAAAAGGUAACGGAGGCGCCCAAAGGUUCCCUCAGAAUGGUUGGAAAUCAUUCGCAGAGUGUAAAGGCACAAGGGAGCUUGACUGCGAGACCUACAAGUCGAGCAGGGACGAAAGUCGGGCUUAGUGAUCCGGUGGUUCCGCAUGGAAGAGCCAUCGCUCAACGGAUAAAAGCUACCCCGGGGAUAACAGGCUUAUCUCCCCCAAGAGUCCACAUCGACGGGGAGGUUUGGCACCUCGAUGUCGGCUCAUCGCAUCCUGGGGCUGUAGUCGGUCCCAAGGGUUGGGCUGUUCGCCCAUUAAAGCGGUACGCGAGCUGGGUUCAGAACGUCGUGAGACAGUUCGGUCCCUAUCCGUCGCGGGCGCAGGAAAUUUGAGAGGAGCUGUCCUUAGUACGAGAGGACCGGGAUGGACGCACCGCUGGUGUACCAGUUGUUCUGCCAAGGGCAUCGCUGGGUAGCUAUGUGCGGACGGGAUAAGUGCUGAAAGCAUCUAAGCAUGAAGCCCCCCUCAAGAUGAGAUUUCCCAUUCCGCAAGGAAGUAAGAUCCCUGAAAGAUGAUCAGGUUGAUAGGUCUGAGGUGGAAGUGUGGCGACACAUGGAGCUGACAGAUACUAAUCGAUCGAGGACUUAACCAA
This 2929-nucleotide ribosomal RNA is filed under the name Bacillus velezensis. RNAcentral's name for it is "23S ribosomal RNA". It matches the Rfam family "Bacterial large subunit ribosomal RNA". Lineage: Bacteria; Bacillati; Bacillota; Bacilli; Caryophanales; Bacillaceae. The record is from RNAcentral.